GAUGAACGUUGGCGGUGUGCCUAAUACAUGCAAGUCGAACGGAGUUAAUAGCAAUAUUGACUUAGUGGCGAACGGGUGAGUAACGCGUUGGUGAUCUGCCUUGAAGUGUGGAAUAACGCUCCGAAAGGAGCGCUAAUACCGCAUGUGCUCUCUAAUUUUAGAAACUUGAGAGGAAAGGAUUUAUUCGCUUCGAGAGGAGCCUGCGUCCCAUCAGCUGGUUGGUAGGGUAAAGGCCUACCAAGGCAAUGACGGGUAGGGGACCUGAGAGGGUCGGCCCCCCACAAUGGAACUGAAACACCGGUCCAUACACCGUACGGGUGGCAGCAGUAGGGAAUAUUAGAAAUGGACGAAAGUCUGAUCUAGCAACACCGCGUGUGCGAAGAAGGCCUUCGGGUCGUAAAGCACUUUUUGGAAGGAAUAGGAAGGAAUGUACUUCCAGAAUAAGUCUCGGCUAACUACGUG
RNAcentral lists this ribosomal RNA (462 nucleotides) under uncultured bacterium. RNAcentral's name for it is "bacterial SSU rRNA". It matches the Rfam family "Bacterial small subunit ribosomal RNA", at positions 28 to 507 of the family's 1533-position model. The record is from RNAcentral.